RNAcentral lists this transfer RNA (92 nucleotides) under Alphaproteobacteria bacterium. RNAcentral's name for it is "tRNA-Ser". It matches the Rfam family "tRNA". From Rfam's summary of the family: Transfer RNA (tRNA) molecules are approximately 80 nucleotides in length. Their secondary structure includes four short double-helical elements and three loops (D, anti-codon, and T loops). The record is from RNAcentral. RNAcentral also lists the same sequence under 1 other name. Lineage: Bacteria; Pseudomonadati; Pseudomonadota; Alphaproteobacteria.
GGACAGAUGGGUGAGUGGCUGAAACCAACGGAUUGCUAAUCCGUCGUACUUCGUAAGAGGUACCGAGGGUUCGAAUCCCUCUCUGUCCGCCA